CCGGCCGUAAACGGUGGACACUAGGUGUUGGAGGCAUCGACCCCUCCAGUGCCGCAGCUAACGCAUUAAGUGUCCCGCCUGGGGAGUACGACCGCAAGGUUGAAACUCAAAGGAAUUGACGGGGGCCCGCACAAGCGGUGGAGCAUGUGGUUUAAUUCGACGCAACGCGAAGAACCUUACCCAGGCUUGACAUGCACUGGACAGGUGUGGAAACACACCCUCCCUUCGGGGCCGGUGCACAGGUGCUGCAUGGCUGUCGUCAGCUCGUGUCGUGAGGUGUUGGGUUAAGUCCCGCAACGAGCGCAACCCUUGUCGUUAGUUGCCAGCGGGUAAUGCCGGGCACUCUAGCGAGACUGCCGGUCUUAAGCCG
This 370-nucleotide ribosomal RNA is filed under the name uncultured bacterium. Its description in RNAcentral is "bacterial SSU rRNA". It matches the Rfam family "Bacterial small subunit ribosomal RNA", at positions 796 to 1165 of the family's 1533-position model. The record is from RNAcentral.